Molecule: transfer RNA, 85 nt
Filed under: Felis catus (domestic cat)
Lineage: Eukaryota; Metazoa; Chordata; Mammalia; Carnivora; Felidae
Also listed under: 2 other names
Rfam family: tRNA
About the family: Transfer RNA (tRNA) molecules are approximately 80 nucleotides in length. Their secondary structure includes four short double-helical elements and three loops (D, anti-codon, and T loops).
Source: Rfam by way of RNAcentral
GCCUGGGUGGCUCAGUCGGUUGAGCGUCCGACUUCAGCUCAGGUCACGAUCUCGCGGUCCGUGAGUUCGAGCCCCGCCUCGGGCU